This 253-nucleotide ribosomal RNA is filed under the name uncultured bacterium. RNAcentral's name for it is "partial 16S ribosomal RNA". It matches the Rfam family "Bacterial small subunit ribosomal RNA", at positions 524 to 776 of the family's 1533-position model. The record is from RNAcentral.
UACGUAGGGGGCUAGCGUUGUCCGGAAUCAUUGGGCGUAAAGAGCGCGUAGGCGGCCAGAUAAGUCCGGUGUGAAAGUCACAGGCUCAACCUGUGAAUGCCGCUGGAAACUGUCUGGCUAGAGUCCGGAAGAGGCGAGUGGAAUUCCUGGUGUAGCGGUGGAAUGCGCAGAUAUCAGGAGGAACACCAAUAGCGAAGGCAGCUCGCUGGGACGGUACUGACGCUAAGGCGCGAAAGCGUGGGGAGCGAACAGG